GAUGAACGCUGGCGGCGUGCCUAAUACAUGCAAGUCGAGCGAACAGACGAGGAGCUUGCUCCUCUGACGUUAGCGGCGGACGGGUGUGUAACACGUGUAUAACCUACCUAUAAGACGGGGAUAACUUCGGGAAACCGGAUCUAAUACCGUAUAAUAUAUUGAACCGCAGUGUUCAAUAGUGAAAGACGGUUUUGCGGUCACUUAUAGAUGGAUCCGCGCCGUAUGAGCUAGUUGGGAAGGUAACCGCUUACCAAGGCAACGAUGCGUAGCCGACGUGAGAGGCGGAUCGGCCACAUUGGAAGUUGGCCAGCGUCCAUACUCCUGCGGGAGGCCGCAGUCGGCAACAGUCCGCAACGGGCGAAAACAUGGCGGAACAGCGCGGCGUGAGUGAUAACAGUCUUCGGAUCGUAAUGAUCUCUUACUAGGGAAAAACCACUGUGUAAGUAAAUAUACCCGUCUUGACGGUACCUAAUAAGAAAGCAACGGCUAACUACGUG
This 497-nucleotide ribosomal RNA is filed under the name uncultured bacterium. RNAcentral's name for it is "partial 16S ribosomal RNA". It matches the Rfam family "Bacterial small subunit ribosomal RNA", at positions 28 to 507 of the family's 1533-position model. The record is from RNAcentral.